RNAcentral lists this ribosomal RNA (576 nucleotides) under uncultured eukaryote. RNAcentral describes it as "bacterial SSU rRNA". It matches the Rfam family "Eukaryotic small subunit ribosomal RNA", at positions 203 to 782 of the family's 1831-position model. The record is from RNAcentral.
AUUUAUUAGAACAAAACCAAUUGGCUUCGGCCAGUACAUUGGUGAAUCUGAAUAACUACGCUGAUCGCAUGGUCUCGUACCGGCGACGUAUCCUUCAAGUGUCUGCCUUAUCAACUUUCGAUGGUAGUUUACAUGACUACCAUGGUCGUAACGGGUAACGGAGAAUAAGGGUUCGACUCCGGAGAGGGAGCCUGAGAAACGGCUACCACAUCCAAGGAAGGCAGCAGGCGCGCAAAUUACCCACUCUCAGAACGAGGAGGUAGUGACGAAAAAUAACGAGACAGUUCUCUAUGAGGUCUGUCAUCGGAAUGGGUACAAUCUAAACCCUUUAACGAGGAUCUAUUGGAGGGCAAGUCUGGUGCCAGCAGCCGCGGUAAUUCCAGCUCCAAUAGCGUAUAUUAAAGUUGUUGCGGUUAAAAAGCUCGUAGUUGGAUUUCAGCCAAGGACAACCGACCCGUGCCUCCGGGUACUGGCGUCUGGUCUGUUCGAGGCAUUUCUUGGUGGACGCUUGGGCUCUUGAAUGAGCUGAACGGACUCCAGGACUUUUACUUUGAGGAAAUUAGAGUGUUUCAAGCA